Molecule: long non-coding RNA, 339 nt
Filed under: Androctonus crassicauda
Lineage: Eukaryota; Metazoa; Arthropoda; Arachnida; Scorpiones; Buthidae
Source: RNAcentral
CAAUAACUAGAGAAAUACCUGCUAUAAAUAAAGUAGCAAAGAACCAAGAGCUAAAACUAGCAUAUAAGAGAAAUGCUACCGUCUUCCAACGUUUACGAAACGACAAAAGAUCCUUAUCCACCAAAUCAAAGAGCCGGAAUCUAUGUUUUGCCCUUAUGCAAUGAAGAUCUUGAUAAGCAAGAAGAGUACAUAGCCCUAACCCCAAGGAACCUAAAAGAUAGAAUCCAAGAACACAAAGCCGACAUAAAAAACGGGAAUCUUAAGAAGAGCGUUAGCAGAAAGGUCAUACGAACAUAAUAUACAAAUCAAAUGGGAAGACGCAAGAAUCUUAAAAUCUUG